RNAcentral lists this long non-coding RNA (281 nucleotides) under Homo sapiens (human). Its description in RNAcentral is "non-protein coding lnc-LAMC3-3:1". Lineage: Eukaryota; Metazoa; Chordata; Mammalia; Primates; Hominidae. The record is from RNAcentral.
ACAACCGUUCAGCAAAUCCUCCUUUAACCUCUGUUCUUGCAGCACCUACUGCUGCUAUGUGACAAUGACUGAGGUAGGGGUGAGUGUCUGUGCCCCACUGACCCUGUCUUGCCCAGACUGAGGUUAUAUGAUAGAUCCCACAUGAUUGUGAGAAUUUCCCUCACGUUCUUCAAAAUCCAAAAACUCAAGCCAGGCAUGGUGGCUUACACCUGUAAUCCCAACACUUUGGGAGGCCGAGGCAGGAGGAUUGCUUGAGCCCAAGAGUUCAAGACCAGCCUGGG